GUUGAGCUCCACUCCAAUGGCUCUUUUCAUCUAGCUACACAUCUCUGGGAAUGCCUCACAGAGUAACUGUUAUUAUUCACUAGUUUUAUUAACUACAAGAUAGUU
This 105-nucleotide small nucleolar RNA is filed under the name Castor canadensis (American beaver). Lineage: Eukaryota; Metazoa; Chordata; Mammalia; Rodentia; Castoridae. The record is from RNAcentral.